GAUGAAGAACGCAGCGAAAUGCGAUAAGUAAUGUGAAUUGCAGAAUUCAGUGAAUCAUCGAAUCUUUGAACGCACAUUGCGCCCGCCAGUAUUCUGGCGAGCAUGCCUGUUCGAGCGUCAUUUCAACCAUCAAGCCCCAGGCUUGUGUUGGAGCCCUGCGGCUGCCGCAGCCUCCCAAAACCAGUGGCGGGCUCGCUAUCACACCGAGUGCAGUAGUUUACUCUUCGCUCAGGGCGUGUGGCGGGUGCUAGCCGUGAAACCCCCAACUUCUCAAGGUUGACCUCGGAUCAGGUAGGAAUACCCGCUGAACUUAAGCAUAUCAAUAACGGAGGA
This 333-nucleotide unclassified non-coding RNA is filed under the name soil metagenome. RNAcentral's name for it is "partial contains 5.8S ribosomal RNA, internal transcribed spacer 2, and large subunit ribosomal RNA". The stretch from base 1 to 120 matches the Rfam family "5.8S ribosomal RNA", at positions 35 to 154 of the family's 154-position model. The record is from RNAcentral.